Molecule: long non-coding RNA, 970 nt
Filed under: Homo sapiens (human)
Lineage: Eukaryota; Metazoa; Chordata; Mammalia; Primates; Hominidae
Description: PREDICTED lncRNA (TCONS_00212507)
Source: RNAcentral
AAUUAUUGCCGAUCCUCCCCUCCAACACUGCUCUCAUCACCUAUAUACUCUUCUCUCUGCCCGUCUCUGCUUCCCCCCCCUUCCCCCCCCCCUUUUCUCCCGGCCGACGGAGCUGAAGGGGCGGGGGUUCCUUCCUUGGAGUGUUUCUAGAGCUCGGAGGCUGCUGGUAGGGGGGCACCACUUUCAGAUAAAAACAUAGACCUGAAUGGCAUCAUCCAGUAUCCAAGGAAACCAUUGUGUCUGUAACCAGCUAAUGAGCUGCAACAGAGCCUGGCCUUCAUUUUCAGCAAAUUAAGUUCAUCCCUCAUAGGAAUUGUGGUCUGGCUGUGGCACCGCUCCUAGGUUCUCUAAACAUGAAUAUGCCUUUGGGGGAAGACAGAAGAACAUGGAAGCCAUGUGAAAAAAACGGAUCCUAAGGCAGUUUUGAACAUCUGGAGGCCUGAUUUAUUGGAGAUUGCAAAUGUACAGUGUAACAUAGCUGUGGAGAGCGAGAAGAUCAGGAUUGUCAAUGCUGUCAUUGCUUUUACUGGAAUCCCCAGCACGAAUUGAAGGUCUCACUUUGCCACCUAGGCUGGAUGCAAUGCAACGGUAUGUUGAUCUUGGUUCACUGCAGCCUCAACCUCCUGAGCUCAUGUGAUCCUCCCACCUCAGUCCCCCACGUCGCUUGGAUUACAGGCCUGUGCCACCACACCUGGCUAACUUUUUUUGUAAUUUUUGUAGAGACAGGGUCUCACUAUGUUUCCCAUGCUGGUCUUUAAUGCCUGAGCUCAAGCCAUCCGCCUGCCUCGGCCUCCCAAAUUGCUGGGAUUACAGGCAUGAGCCACCAUGCCCAGCCUAAUUCUUCUAAAUCUUAUCCUAGUAAUUAAGCCAGAAUUUUUCUCUGCCAAGACCAAUAGAUGGACCAAGAAGUACUCAUCCUUGUAAACUUUCUUUGGAUAAAUUGCUUACAUAUAAUAAAUUCAGAGUUAAG